CGGAUCCGGAGCACACGGAGAGAGGGGCGGCCGAAGCCGGUUGGCUUCGGCCGCCCCUCUCUCCGUGUGCUCGCCCUGC
RNAcentral lists this small RNA (79 nucleotides) under Allostreptomyces psammosilenae. RNAcentral describes it as "microRNA MIR1846". Lineage: Bacteria; Bacillati; Actinomycetota; Actinomycetes; Kitasatosporales; Streptomycetaceae. The record is from RNAcentral.